CGGAGGGUGCAAGCGUUAUCCGGAUUCACUGGGUUUAAAGGGUGCGUGGGUGGGUUGGUAAGUCAGUGGUGAAAUCUCCGAGCUUAACUUGGAAACUGCCAUUGAUACUAUUAAUCUUGAAUAUUGUGGAGGUCAGCGGAAUAUGUCAUGUAGCGGUGAAAUGCUUAGAGAUGACAUAGAACACCAAUUGCGAAGGCAGCUGGCUACACAUAUAUUGACACUGAGGCACGAAAGCGUGGGGAUCAAACAGGAUUAGAUACCCUGGUAGUCCACGCCCUAAACUAUGGAUACUCGACAUACGCGAUACACAGUGCGUGUCUGAGCGAAAGCAUUAAGUAUCCCACCUGGGAAGUACGAUCGCAAGAUUG
This 368-nucleotide ribosomal RNA is filed under the name uncultured organism. RNAcentral describes it as "bacterial SSU rRNA". It matches the Rfam family "Bacterial small subunit ribosomal RNA", at positions 526 to 896 of the family's 1533-position model. The record is from RNAcentral.